Molecule: ribosomal RNA, 800 nt
Filed under: uncultured bacterium
Lineage: Bacteria
Description: bacterial SSU rRNA
Rfam family: Bacterial small subunit ribosomal RNA
Source: RNAcentral
AGAGUUUGAUCCUGGCUCAGGAUGAACGCUGGCGGCGUGCCUAACACAUGCAAGUCGAACGGACUCAUCAUGAAACCUAGUGAUUGGUGAGUUAGUGGCGGACGGGUGAGUAACGCGUGGGUAACCUGCCGUAUACAGGGGGAUAACAGUUAGAAAUGACUGCUAAUACCGCAUAAGCGCACAGUGCCGCAUGGCACAGUGUGAAAAGCCGAGACGGUAUACGAUGGACCCGCGUCUGAUUAGCCGGUUGGCGGGGUAACGGCCCACCAAAGCAACGAUCAGUAGCCGGCCUGAGAGGGUGGACGGCCACAUUGGGACUGAGACACGGCCCAAACUCCUACGGGAGGCAGCAGUGGGGGAUAUUGCACAAUGGGGGGAACCCUGAUGCAGCGACGCCGCGUGAGUGAAGAAGUAUUUCGGUAUGUAAAGCUCUAUCAGCAGGGAAGAAGAAAGACGGUACCUGAGUAAGAAGCACCGGCUAAAUACGUGCCAGCAGCCGCGGUAAUACGUAUGGUGCAAGCGUUAUCCGGAUUUACUGGGUGUAAAGGGAGCGUAGACGGCAUGGCAAGUCUGAAGUGAAAGCCCGGGGCUCAACCGCGGGACUGCUUUGGAAACUGCCGGGCUGGAGUGCAGGAGAGGUAAGUGGAAUUCCUGGUGUAGCGGUGAAAUGCGUAGAUAUCAGGAGGAACACCGGCGGCGAAGGCGGCUUACUGGACUGUAACUGACGUUGAGGCUCGAAGGCGUGGGGAGCAAACAGGAUUAGAUACCCUGGUAGUCCACGCGGUAAACGAUGAUCACUA